GAUUAACUCUGGCGGCGUGCAUAACACAUGCAAGUCGAACGAUGAAACUUAAAAGAUUUCUUCGGAAUGACCUUAAGUGGAUUAGUGGCGAACGGGUGAGUAACGCGCGAGUAACCUGCCUUACACAAGGGGAUAGCCUCUGGAAACGGAGAAUAAUACCCUAUGAAACUAUCUUAUCGCAUGAAAAGAUAGUCAAAGUGUUUUAGCGGUGUAAGAUGGACUUGCGUCUGAUUAGCUAGUUGGUGAGAUAACAGCCCACCAAGGCAACGAUCAGUAGCCGGCUUGAGAGAGUGUACGGCCACAUUGGGACUGAGACACGGCCCAGACUCCUACGGGAGGCAGCAGUGGGGAAUUUUGCACAAUGGGGGCAACCCUGAUGCAGCGACGCCGCGUGAUUUAGAAGGCCUUCGGGUUGUAAAAAUCUUUUGUAUAGGAAGAAAAUGACAGUACUAUACGAAUAAGGUCCGGCUAAUUACGUGCCAGCAGCCGCGGUAAUACGUAAGGACCGAGCGUUGUCCGGAAUCAUUGGGCGUAAAGGGUACGUAGGCGGUUAGAAAAGUUAGAAGUGAAAGGCUAUAGCUCAACUAUAGUAAGCUUUUAAAACUGUUUAACUUGAGAGAUGGAAGGGAAAGUGGAAUUCCUAGUGUAGCGGUGAAAUGCGCAGAUAUUAGGAGGAAUACCGGUGGCGAAGGCGACUUUCUGGCCAUUAUCUGACGCUGAGGUACGAAAGCGUGGGUAGCAAACAGGAUUAGAUACCCUGGUAGUCCACGCCGUAAACGAUGAGUGUUAGGUGUCUGGUUUAAACUGGGUGCCGCAGCUAACGCAAUAAACACUCCGCCUGGGGAGUACGCACGCAAGUGUGAAACUCAAAGGAAUUGACGGGGACCCGCACAAGCAGCGGAGCAUGUGGUUUAAUUCGAAGCAACGCGAAGAACCUUACCAAGUCUUGACGUAUUACGGCGUGUUUUAGAGAUAAGACACUAUAUCUUCGGAUAACUGUAAUACAGGUGGUGCAUGGUUGUCGUCAGCUCGUGUCGUGAGAUGUUGGGUUAAGUCCCGCAACGAGCGCAACCCUUGUCUUAUGUUGCCAGCAUUUGGUUGGGGACUCAUGAGAGACUGCCGGGGUCAACUCGGAGGAAGGUGGGGACGACGUCAAAUCAUCAUGCCCCUUAUGUCCAGGGCUUCACACAUGCUACAAUGGUCGGUACAACGCGCAGCGACACUGUGAGGUGGAGCGAAUCGCUGAAAGCCGGCCUUAGUUCGGAUUGGGGUCUGCAACUCGACCCCAUGAAGUCGGAGUCGCUAGUAAUCGCAGAUCAGCAACGCUGCGGUGAAUACGUUCCCGGGCCU
RNAcentral lists this ribosomal RNA (1350 nucleotides) under uncultured bacterium. Its description in RNAcentral is "partial 16S ribosomal RNA". It matches the Rfam family "Bacterial small subunit ribosomal RNA", at positions 28 to 1381 of the family's 1533-position model. The record is from RNAcentral.